UACGGAGGGUGCGAGCGUUAAUCGGAAUUAGUGGGCGUAAAGCGCGCGGAGGGGGUUAGGUAAGGUGGAUGUGAAAGCCCAGGGCUCAACCUUGGAACUGCAUUCAGGACUGGCUGGCUAGAGUACGAGAGAGGGUAGUGGAAUUUCCUGUGUAGCGGUGAAAUGCGUAGAUAUAGGAAGGAACAUCAGUGGCGAAGGCGACUGCCUGGCUCGAUACUGACGCUGAGGUGCGAAAGCGUGGGGAGCAAACAGG
This 253-nucleotide unclassified non-coding RNA is filed under the name uncultured Cellvibrionales bacterium. RNAcentral's name for it is "contains 16S-23S intergenic spacer region". It matches the Rfam family "Bacterial small subunit ribosomal RNA", at positions 524 to 776 of the family's 1533-position model. Lineage: Bacteria; Pseudomonadati; Pseudomonadota; Gammaproteobacteria; Cellvibrionales. The record is from RNAcentral.